GGUCGCUCCUGCAUGCAAUUGUUCUUCGGUUCCCAGCCGCGAAAUAAUACAAAAUAAAACAACAGUUUCACAUUAACCUGUGUGUGAGACUCGACCAAAUUCCAGUUGUUGCUAAAAAUGUGACUCUACAAUGCAACCCAAGCAACCGGCAAAACUUCCAAACAUCAAUACCGUUAGGCGUCGUCUUUUCCAAGAUGAAGACAAUAACGAAAAUGAAGAACCCUCAGAAUUAAAUAUCCAAGACGGAAACGCACAAACCGCGCGGUGGAAUUUUGACUUUGCUAACGAAACCCCACUGGAAGGAGACUGGGAAUGGGAAAGGGUGGCAGAGUCUGACUGAUUCAAGAUGUUGCAAGUAAAUAAGACGUAGUGCAAUAGUACAUAGUUUGUAAUAAAAAUAAUUUGCGAUCAACAACAAUCGUCCCAUAGCUGGAGCUAGAUGGUCAGCUGUCUGUUUCGUUGUAUGUAGCAGACAGUGACAGACAACAUGCUCGUCUGUCGCCAACUGUAGACGAUUUUUGUUGAUCGCACCUUAUUAGUCAUAGUGAAAGUAUUGUUAUAUUGUAUUGUUUACAUUCUAUAUUUAUUACAGUUUUUACAUUAAUCUAGUCUUUUUGUGUUAAAAUAAUUGUGUAUUGUAUGUAAAUACUAAUAACGGAACGGCUACAUACCAAAAAAGUGUAACAUAAUUUAGUGCUAGAUUUAUUAUUACGAUGUAUUUUUGUAAAGUACUUUUGAAUAAACUCUCCGUAAGUAAA
Molecule: long non-coding RNA, 758 nt
Organism: Zophobas morio
Lineage: Eukaryota; Metazoa; Arthropoda; Insecta; Coleoptera; Tenebrionidae
Exons: 2
Source: RefSeq, a predicted model, not a curated record